GUGCCACCUACUGUAUCCCAGAUGGGCCAAGGUAACCGAGUCGCACUGUGCAGGGAGGGCCUUCCUGUGUGUGUGUGUGUGUGUGUUUUCUUUUCCUGAGGACACAGCCACCCUGCUGUGCAGGGACCUUUCUCCCAGACUCCUCUUCCCGUCUUGGGUGCAGGUUGACGUUUGAGAAGCAAAGACACCAAGGGUCCCCUUCCUCCCACCCAGGCCUCACGUCCCCUCAGCCCCUCCUGGCCAUGCACUGUUGAUUCCUAAGGUCUGCCACCCUCUGCAAGCACUGCUCCUCCCGUGUCCUGGCCUCCACCUGCCCCCACCCUGGGACAAAGCAUCCUCCUCGCCCCCACCAUGUCCACGCACAGAGGCAGAUGGCCAGGCACUGGGGGAACGUGGUGCUGGGGCCUCCCCGCCCCACUGGUAGAGAGGAGCCAGCCUCUGCUUGCAGACCAUCCCUCACGCUCUGCUCCUGUCCAGUGAGCUGUGGUUGCACCCGCAGGCCAGUGGGCUGUCUGCCCACAUGGGUGGGGGACCAUGGGGCUCCCAAGGUCACGAGCCCUGAGCAGUUUGGGUCUCUGUCACAGAAGACGCAGCCAGUUGGAACAUUCCUGAAACUUUAUGAGACCACUGGGCCUUUUUUACUUAUUUGGGCCAAAACUGAGCGACAGUGACUGCCCCGUUAACACCACCUGGAAACCAGUCCGUCCUUCUCGUUGAGAAACUGAUUUUCUAGUAUGCAUUUUUUGAAUCGAAUAAAUUUACGACACCUUAGAUUUCACUUGCAAUUUUGACUUCUAAAAAAUGUUUUAGUCGUUGGUAACUGGUUUCUCAUUGAAAACGGAUGCCUAUUUGUGAUACUGGUGUUCCCAUUACAAUGUAACACAAAGAUUUAAACGUAGAGUGAGUGGAAGCCCCACACAGGCAGGCCGGGCGGCAUCCAGUGGCAUCGGGCGCCUUUUUCGUGGCUGCAGCGUCAGCCUGCACUGCCGGGUGUGAGACAGACGCGCACUUAACGGCGUGAGAAGCCAGAUGUGGGAGGCACCGGGCAAUGUGGGCAGUGAGGCAGGAGCUUGGCCGCGUGUGGGGCAGAAGCUCCAUGGCUAGAAUGGGAUGUGUUUGGGUCACGGGUCUGGGGGAGGGUGCGUUCUGGCUAUAACUGGAUGUGUUUGGGCCACAGAGGUCUGGGGGCGGGGGGUGCGUUCUGGCUAUAACUGGAUGUAUUUGGGCCACAGAGGUCUGGGGGGUGCAUUCUGCAUCCAGCAGCUCUCACAUGGCAGUCGUGGUCCCCGUUGCUGGUCCGGCCUGUUGUGGAGUAGCGGGGGCAUUCAUGGGCGAACCCAGAGGCUGAAAUUCCACCCCAAUCAGAGCUCUAUUCCAGAGAAAAGGGGAGAAAUUGAGUCAGGCUUUGUUGUUCUGCAAAACAGUGACGCCGCUCAGCCAGCGCUGCGGGUUCCAGCAUACUCAGUGGCUUCAUUUCACUCUCACGGUAACCGCUGGGGGUGGAUUCUACGAUUAUCCUCAUUUUUACAGAAAAGGAAGCAGAGAUGGUUCACAGCCGAGUCACCUGUCCAGGGUGAUGCCUUUGCGGGGCCCACCAGAGCCCGCCAGUGUCGCAGAGGCGGUGAGCCCCUCCCGCCCAACACACAGCCCCUUGGCAGGGGCUCUUGAGCAAACCUGCAGGUGGGCAGCUUGGGGCGUUUCUCAGCUAGCAUCACCCCUGCUUCAGGACUUGAAAGCACUUGACUGGGUUCGCUGGCCUGAGGAUUACGUGCUCGGUGGAAAUUAGUCAUUCUGGGCUCUUCUCUCCUUCACUCUAGGAGGACUGGGACCCAGAGAGCUCCGGGAUCAGCUCCCUGGCUUGGAGUCCAAAAGCAGCUCUGACCACGCCGCCUGGGGCAAGAGGGAGGGCCGCUGGGUUCCGUCUCCGUGGCCUGGCACAUCCAAGGUCCCUUUGUGGAAAAGGCACGUGUAGCACCCGUUACUGGAGGAUAACCUGUAACUUUGUGCCUCUCCCAAGGGAGCACACAGGUCUACACGGGAAGUAAGAUUCCCCAUACCCACUGUGUCUCACAGUUCAGAAAAAGUCGUCAAAGUGCUCAGACUCAAGAAGUAAUUAAGGAAAUAUGAAAACAUGACUUUAUUUCUUUCUUUUUUUGAGACAUUCUCGCUCUGUUGCCCAGGCUGGAGUGCAGUGGCACCAUUGCAGCUCAAACUCCUGGGCCAAGCAAUCUUCCCACCUCAGACUCCCAAGUAGCUGGGACCACAGGCAUGCGCCACCACACUCAGCUAAUCUUUGUAUUUUUUGUAGAGACAGGGUCUCAUCAUGUUACCCAGGCUGAUCUCGAACUCCUGGGCUCCAGUAAUCCACCCACUUUAGCCUCCCAAAGUGCUGGGAUUGCAGGCAUGAACCACCAUGCCCAGCUGAAAAUAUAACUUUAAAAAAAAUCUUAGCUCCGUAAGAACUAAGCCAGAUCAGAAAACGAAUUCUGUCUGUGGCCCCCACAGCUGUGAAAUGGAGUCGCUGACUCGCCAUGCUCAUGCACGUGCUUAGUGCCCACUGCAGAAGGCUGCUUUGAAUGAAAGCUAGUGUUUAUUCGUGCACUCACCCAGAAGGUUUCUGCUGUUAUUGAAUCAAAUUACCCUACAUGUGAGGCAUUUUUCACAGCCAGAUGCAGACAGGGACACAGACGCAGCAGCACCCACCACACAUGAACGUUCGGGGGUCACUGCCUCGUCUUCAUGUCUUGGGAGUUGCUGUUUCUGUCUUUAAAUCCGAGCGUCAGAAGGAUCUGAGACACCCGAUAUAAAUCCCUAGCUUGUUAAUGAUGCUCACAGAGAGCGGCCAUGCCCACAGACUGCAUAAUUUAUCUCCAUCCUGCAGAAUUCUGAUUUUCAUGUAAACCUAGGACAUGUUCAGAGACUUGGAAGUUAGUGAUUCUAGCCCCUGCCUUAGGCAUGCCCGUGUGGUUGUUUCUGCUUUGGAUUGGCUGGUGGUAGCAGCUGCUGGCAUCACGCAAUUGGCUUGGCUGCAGAGUGAGCCCGCGGAAGAGGGCUCUCCGCACCCACUCUGUGACUCAGGCUUCUACUACCAGGCUCAUCCGAGGACGGAGGCUGUCGUUAUACAACGCGCAAGUGUGGUCUCUGUCACAGAUGUGGCUGUCGCAGAGAGUGCUGCCUCCUCUCCCGUUUCCAGCAGAUGCUUGGGAACCUUCAGAAGUCUUGGGGAUUUUCUCCCAGCACCGUAGCCAUGCCACCACGAGUGAACCCUUAACGUGGACCAGCACGGGCACCUCAGAUGCCAGGACCGGCGUGAUGUAUGCGCCAUAAGACUGUUUUGGAGGGUUUAGUCAGCUGGUCACCCAGGAAAGGAAAAUGACUCGGCUCUUACUGUGGAAUAGCAAAUGACUGAGCUCGGGAGAGAUGGUUCUGCCUCAAUCUGUGACUCGAGGUGGUUGGUGUUAGGCUGAGAAAUAAGAACACACCGAAAGUGCCUGCCCUUCCGUAGAUGAGAGCAGGUUCUGGGACUGCGGGGAUGGGGCUGCCGGGGCCCCCGUGUGCCAUGCCUCUCACCUGGUAUUGCAGAAAUGGCAUCAUGAAUAUGGGGGAUCGCUCUCCCAAGAGGUUUUCUGAGGGAUUUCGUGGGCAGCCGGCUUCCCACCUGCACACAUUAACGGCGGCGUCUCUUCCUCACUGCAGCCUGCAGGACGCUGGCAUCGGAUUCAUCCUGGUGAUAGACCGGCGACGGGACAAAUGGACCUCCGUGAAGGCGUCCGUCCUGCGCAUCGCAGUAAGUGCCGCCCGGGGCUCUGCCCUGCACCCGGCCCCUCCCUGGGCUGCAUGACCGCAUGGUGCCCUUCCUCUGUGUCUGCCGCAGUUCCUGCUUUGUGCUGAGUGGGACAGAGCCCAGUCCCGGCAGGUGGAGGCCGGCGCCAAGGCCCCCCCUGCUUGGGCUCCCAAGGCACUGGUGCCUGGGUGUGAGUUUUCCCAGAUGAGGGAACUCUUAGGGAGCCCAGUGUGACUUGCAAACAAUUUCCUCAGACAGGGCAGCCCAUAUGUUUCCGAACACCAAGUCUGAGAUGCUCGGGACUGAAUAUGCCUCUUACAUAUUUAUACAUUAGUGAUUUUCUCCUUUCCAAAUUGGGCCGUCUAUCUUUAGCUGUGACACUGAACGAGCCACCACCGCCUCCCUUCCCCAGUGGGAUUGAACAUGCACUUCCUCUUACACAAAGCACAACAGUCCUGAACAGGCAGGACGGGGGCUGUGUGCAGAGACGCUCCAGGCUGGAAGUUUGAAGUGGUACUGCACAGCUUUUCUACGUGAUUUUCUCCUUUCCAAAUCGGGCCAUCUAGCUGCGACACUGAACUAGCCACCACCGCCUCCCUUCCCCAGUAACCCAGCCUCGCAGGUAGCCACCCUCCUUUCCAAGGACUUUCCCUUGGGCGUCCGAGGGUCUGUUUGCAGAUUCUGCACGCUGGCUUCCGUAGCAGAAGAGGAGCUGGGUUUGCUGUUGGUUUUAACCCAGAGUAAUCAUUUAAGAGGGAAGAGAUUAAGUCAGCAGAAGACUCCAAAUCUUAUUUUUGUCGGUAGCUCCCACCCAUAUGCAUGACCCCGGCAGGGAGCAUUUUUCACCCACGCUCGCUCUCCCUGCCUGUCAGUCCAAAUUUCAUUGCUGCCAAAGGACCAAAAAAGGCUGCCUGUCUGCCAGGAGGUGACCCAGAGCCUGGGUCCAGGCACCUGCAUGUUCGCACGCCCGCCACAGCCCGUCCCUCCCAGGCUCUGGGACCCUGGGUCCUCAGCUGUGAUGGCACAAUUGCUCCAAGCAUUCCCCAGCACCAAACCCCAGUGAAGUCAGAUUCUCCCGGUGAAGUCAGAUUCUCCCGGUGAAGUCAGAUUGUCCCGGUGAAGUCAGAUUCUCCCAGUGAAGUCAGAUUCUCCUGGCCUUUCCUGGCUUCUGCAUUCAGACUACCUUUGGGUUCCCCAGCCUCUCGGUGGCUGCUGGCUGGUGCGCCAAGGUUCGAGGUAUAGUGAAAAAAGUCAUUCCUUUCCCCGCACAUUGCCUCAUUCCUUCAUCUUUUACAAGAAUUAGAGACCCCAUAUCUGCUCCGAUGCCCACAACCUUCAUCGUUUUGGUGCGAGCCUGUCCCUGAGCCGCUGGUUCUCAUCGAAGUCUUUAGGAUGAGGCAUCUCCUUGCACCCCCACGGCACCUCUCUGCCCCUCGCCGCGGCGGAUCCCCAUUCCUGACCCUGCCUCAACCUGGCACACACCGCCUAUGGCAUCGUUAUCUGAAAUAAUUCAAAACGCUUCAGGAUGCUUCCAAAAAAGUAGACGUGUAUAGAAUCGGUCUUCCUUUGUUUUAACAGUGCGUUCGUUUGCUUUUGCGUCACUAUAAAGACGUACUUGAGCUGGGCAAUUGAUAAAGAAAGAGGCGUAAUUGGCUCACAGUUCUGCAGGCUGCACAGGCUUAGCACCUGCAUCUUCUCAGCUUCUGAGGGGGCCUCAGGGAGCUGCCAGUUGUGGUGGAAGGCAGCAGGGAGCUGCCAGUUGUGGUGGAAGGCAGCGGGGAGCCGGCAUCACAUGGUGAGAGAGGGAGCGAGAGAGAAGGGGGAGGUCCCAGACUUUUGAACAGCCAGAUCUCCAGUGAACUUACUGAGCGAGAACUCACCCGUCACCAAGGGGAUGGCGCUGAGCCAUUCAUAAGGGGUCACGCCCAGACUUAAUCACCUCCCGCCAGGCCCCACCUCAGCACUGGGAAUCGCAUUUCAACAUGAGACUUGGAGGGGACAAAAAUCCCAUCCAUAUCAAGCAUCCCCAGAAAUGCAGAAAGUUCUUUAGAUAAAAGCCAUCACCAGCUAA
RNAcentral lists this small RNA (5855 nucleotides) under Pan troglodytes (chimpanzee). RNAcentral's name for it is "processed transcript". Lineage: Eukaryota; Metazoa; Chordata; Mammalia; Primates; Hominidae. The record is from RNAcentral.